AUCUACGGCCAUGCCACCUUGAACAUGCCUGAUCUUGUCUGCUCUCAGAAGCUAAGCAGGGUCGGGCCUGCUUAGUACUUGGAUGGGAGACCACCUAGGAAGACCAGGUGCUGUAGGCA
RNAcentral lists this ribosomal RNA (119 nucleotides) under Pteropus alecto (black flying fox). The record is from RNAcentral. RNAcentral also lists the same sequence under 1 other name. Lineage: Eukaryota; Metazoa; Chordata; Mammalia; Chiroptera; Pteropodidae.